AUGGCCGCGCCCUCCCUUCACACGUAUCUCCUCCUCUUCUGCAACGCGAUCGCGCUGCUGCUCGUGGUCGUGCCCCCGUGCGCGGGGCUCGGGCUCGACACGGUGAGGGGCUUCCUCACCAGGGAGGAGGACACCGUCGUCUUCAGCCUCAUCGAGCGGGCCAAGCACCCGCUGAACCUGCCGGCCUACGACGAUCGCCCGUCCUUCGGCCCCGCCGGCCGCCAUGGCCGCCGCAACGGCUCCUUCGUCGAGCUCUUCGUCCGGGAGUCCGAGCAGAUCCAGGCCAAGGCAGGAAGGUACCAAAGCCAGCAGGAGGUCCCUUUCUUCCAAUCCAGAGUGCCCUUCACGCUGGCGCCUCCAUACAACUUCACCACCGAUCUGCAUCCCGGAGCGGCGUCCGUGAACGCGAACGACGCCAUAUGGGGCAUGUAUUUCAGCGAGCUGCUCCCUCUGCUGGCCAACAAUGGCAGCGAGGAUGGCAACUACGCUGUGACCGCCGCAUCGGAUCUCGCGUGCCUGCAGGCGCUCUCGAGGAGGAUCAACUACGGGAGGUACGUGGCAGAAGUGAAGUUCAGAGGAGACCAGCAAAGAUACACAGAUUUGAUUCGUUCAAAGGACAAGGAUGCUCUGAUGAAACUGCUGACAUCUGAAGCCCAAGAGGAUGUGGUGAAGAGGAGGGUGGAGAAGAAGGCCAUGGUGUUCGGCCAAGAUGUGACCUUGGACGGACCAACUGAAACUGGUGACGACGCCAGCAGCCAAUCCAGUUUCAAAGUCGCCCCUUCGGUGGUUUACGAGUUGUAUGACCGAUGGGUGAUCCCCUUGACAAAACAAGUGGAGGUCGAGUACCUUCUCCAUCGUCUCGAUUGA
Molecule: ribosomal RNA, 867 nt
Filed under: Triticum aestivum (bread wheat)
Lineage: Eukaryota; Viridiplantae; Streptophyta; Magnoliopsida; Poales; Poaceae
Description: partial small subunit ribosomal RNA
Source: RNAcentral